UAGGACCCUGUCCUCCUAUUUUCAGUUGGUUUGCCGCGAGGACCAGGGUAAUGAUUAAUAGGGAUAGUUGGGGGCAUUAAUAUUUAAUUGUCAGAGGUGAAAUUCUUGGAUUUAUGAAAGAUUAACUUCUGCGAAAGCAUCUGCCAAGGAUGUUUUCAUUAAUCAAGAACGAAAGUUAGGGGAUCGAAGACGAUCAGAUACCGUCGUAGUCUUAACCAUAAACGAUGCCGACCAGCGAUUAGGAGACGUUGAAUACAAAACACCACCAUGCGCAUUGCGGUCGUCUUUGGUGUCGCUCACAAGGCGGCACCGGGGCGGCUUAGCUCGCAUGGCACCG
This 337-nucleotide ribosomal RNA is filed under the name Acanthamoeba sp. RNAcentral describes it as "partial small subunit ribosomal RNA". The stretch from base 1 to 295 matches the Rfam family "Eukaryotic small subunit ribosomal RNA", at positions 815 to 1116 of the family's 1831-position model. Lineage: Eukaryota; Discosea; Longamoebia; Acanthamoebidae. RNAcentral also lists the same sequence under 1 other name. The record is from RNAcentral.